UGAUCUUAAAUUCAAGUCUUUUAUCAUCAUUUUUUAUAAAAUUUUUAUUUUGAGCCGUUCAUUUUUAGACUACUUAUUUGAUAGGUAAAUAAUGUCGAAAAAUUAUGAAAUUUAAUUUUCAAAUACUUUUAGUAGUGUAGAUCAAAUAUAACGGAGCCGAUCAUUGAUUUGGAAGCCGCAUCAUUGAAAACAACUUGGUAGCACGGAGACCUCCGUGCUACCGAUAGUAUACCAGCCUAGCUCUCUCUCUCUCUCUCUCUCUCUCUCUAUAUAUAUAUAUAUAUAUAUAUAUAUUGAUAAUUCACCAGAUAGGAGGGAAUAUGGGAAAAGCCUAUGGGAAAAGCACACGUGUCCUAAUAAUAUGCCCUGCUUCUUCUAUGUUGUACAAGGAAUAAUACAGGUACCUAUGAAAUCCAUUGCCACAACUUAGGAUAAGUCCAUGCACUAUCACUAUUAUUGAUCUAUAAUGUAAAGAGAUUAGUACUUUUAAUUAUCUCUGAUAAAGUACAAUUUUUUAAAAUUAAGAUGAGGAAGAUAGCGGGAAAAGGGCACGUGUUGUACUGUUAUGCUCUCCUCUUCUAAGAUUUUGUACAAGGUCCUUCCAAAUUAAUAGCAAAUAAUACAAAUACAUAUAUACGUACAUAAUAUUACCUUAAUAACGUACUGCUUCAUGUACUCGUUGUAGAGGGACCAUCAUCGUAAAUGGAACAUCAACUGAAACAGUUAGUACUUGUGGAAACUAUUUCGUGGACCUUGUGUACCACUUCAUCUGAGGACCGUACCACAAAAUGCAGCUAUGGGGUUCUCUGGUUUGAUGAGAACAAUGGCACCUUUACAUUUGUAAAUUAGGUGUCUCAUUUAUUUGAUAGUUCUUACUCUCUAUUAAAUAUAAAAAUAUUUAAAUAUUAUUUUCUAUUAGUUUAAAUUUUUAGAGGACAACGAUUGGCUUCUAACGUUAUUAAUUUUUUUCUAUUUAAUUUAAGUUCAUGUUAUAGACCUUGCAAAAUGUCUUGAGUCCAAAUAUAAGAAGUUUUAAAUAUAAAAAUACAUAAGUAUUAUUUUUUAAUGACUUAAGCUUUUAAAGUACAAUCGUUGUUUCACGUCUAUCUUUAUUUAAAAUUUUGUAAACUUUACCAUCUAUCUUUUUUUUGUGUUUCAUAUUUACCGUCUAUUACUUUUCUCCUUUUUAAUCUCUACUGCUUAAUUAACUAUAAACAAUUAAUCAAUAAAGAUGAGAAAUUAAAAAGAAAGUCAAUUAAAAAAGAGUAAUUGUAAAUGUACAUCUCAAAAGGAGGUGUAAAGAGGGUAAAAUGGUAUUUGCAUCGACGGUCCACGGAUGACAUUUGGAGCGGGUCUAGGGAAUUAUUUCUCUAGACCACUUCCCUCAUCAUUCUCGGGUUAGAACUUAGAACCACUCGCAUCUAAGUGGCUCGACCCUGAUUCUGACCAAUCCAUUAUUUGAGUCCCACAUGAAAUCACAUUUUAAGUGUUAUCCUCAAGCCAUAAUAUUUAGCAAUUAAAAGAGAUAUCAUCCUUCACACAACUUUUUCACUAAAUCCCAAUCAUCUAACUGAUUUUUGUAAAAUUAAUAAUAAAAAUUUCAUAAAAAUACUUGUUGAAUUACUGGGUGGGACCGAAAGGUCCAUUAAAAAAAAGAAAAUCCAUUACCUCUUUAUACGAUCUUUUAUGUUGAAUAUAAUAUUAAGAUAUUAGUUUGUGUAAGGACCUCUUAAUUUAUAGAAUUUUUGCUGUAGUGUGUUCCCCAUAGGAUAUUUUUAAUUGCUACUGAGAAAUUGAGCUCUCAUUAAAGAACAUUCAAGUCACGGUUUCACUUCAAUCUUUAUCGAGGGUGGUUGAUGCUGAAUUUAAACCUAAGGUUUUAUUGUUUUGCUUCUCAUUUACAACUCUGUCCUAAGUUUCCUGUACUCCUUUGAAUGCCAACAUUAAUUUUCUAAGUACAAAACACUUGAUAGAUGCGUCUAGUGUUUGUGUGCUUCGAUCCGUGAAAAAAAAACGGCGAUGGGCCCUCCAAUAUUAUUCGUAAGGCGAUUUAUUUAUCGUAGACGCGCGUCAAAUAUUGUGGGGGGAAUAGUACUACUCUAAUAAGUAUAUAGAACGCCAAGUUAGUGUUCGAACCAAUGCUAUGUUCAUAUCCAUUUUACAUGCACGUAAACAAUGUGACAGUUUUUGAUUGGCCGAAUUCUGCAGUUACAGAAUGGCAGCAGUCGUAAAGCUUGAAAGAAACUAAUCUUAUGCUUUAAAUAAUUAUAAGAUAUUAGAGACAAGAAGCUCGUUUUAGCUUUCUAUUACAGUAGAAACUAAAGAUCUUCUACUUGUCCAAGUGCAUAUGAGCUGCUUACAUUAGAUCCAGUUUUGUUGCAGCAGAGGAGGGCUUUUUCUUUUUUAACCACCGGUUUCUUUCUAAUUGUUAGUUUUUGCCCAGUUUUGCUGCUUAUCAUUACUGUUUAGUGGCAAACUUAGAUGUUUAUGUUAGAGACAAGAAAAAGAUGAGCACCACUUUUGAACAUUGAUGCUGGUGCAUAGAGAUAAAAGGCUAGGCAUAAAUGUGCAUAACCCCUCUCCUAAACUUGAAUUGAAUUCGCCACCUAACCGCGUAAAAAGAAGAGGAUAAGUAAAGCAAUGGUCACUAACCUAAUUGCGAAAUUUCUGCGUAUCAAACUGCAAAGCUCUCGCGCCUAGAAGGCGCAUUAUAUAUAUAGGCCAUGGCUUCUAUACUAUUAUGAGUAUUGGAGCCCUCGUACUCAUAAGUUGUUUUCAGUGAUGAAGCUUCCGAAUCGACGAUCCACUCCGUUAAAUAUGAUCUAGAGUAUUUGAAACUUCUAGAAAAUAUAUUUCGUAAAUUUUCGAAAUCAUAAUAAAGUCCAUCAAGUGAGCAUAAAAUGAACGGUCAAAAUCGAACGACGUCCUAAAAAAGAAUGAUCGGAUCCUUCAAUUUAAGAUCAGAGUUAUUGAUUUUUAUCUAUGUAGUGAAUAGAAUUUUCUAUCAAAAAUUCAACAAAUUCCGAUUCUUUUACACCGUUAAACUAGCAAGUAUCCCAUACCGGCCGUUAAAAAUUGUCAAAUUUGUGACCUCUUGAUCGUAAGGUAAAUGAUGUUGAAAAUUAUAAAAUUUGAUUUCUAGAAGUUUUAAAUACUGUAAAUAACAUUUAAUGGUGUGGAUCGUCGAUUCAGAAGCUCUAUCAUCGAAAACAACUUAUGAGUACGAGGGCGAUCAUACUCAUAAUAGUAUAGUAGCCGGACCCUAUAUAUAUAUAUAUAUAUAUUAACAAUAGAAUUAGGCUAGAAUACUAUCAAUAGGACCAAGUUAUUGGUGCUAUUAGUUUUUUAGCUUUUGGAUUGAAAAAUGUGCGGUUAGGAUGAUGUGGGCCCCCUAGAGUUGAGUGAAUAGUUGACUGAAUAUUAUAAUCUAACGGAUAAAAAAAUUAAAGGGUUAAAUCUAACGGUAGAAAAUUCGAUAGCACAAAAUUCUUGGUGCUAUCGAUAGUAUCCCAGCCGGACUCUUAACAAUAAUUUUGUUGAGAGUUUCUCACUUCUCACUUGUCAUUUCACGAGUACCCUGUCGUCGCAUUGGAGUACAUAUCAAGUCGCAAGAGCAAACCUAAUGAAGCUCAGAGCUUUGAAGACUAAGCAUAAAAGCCUUUUUACUCUGAGAGCUUCAAAGAGCCCAUCAAGGCAUCAACUCACAUUCAUAUACUAAGAGACAUCCAAAGAGAGAGAGAGAGAGAGAGAGAGAGAGAAAAGCGAUCAACAAGACAACAUUCACUGUAUUGAACAAUAACAAGUGAUCUCCAAUCCUGCUUCUGCUUUUCACAACAGUAACCAUCAAUAGUGAGAGAAUAUAAAGUACGUCGAAACUCCAAUUUAGUGCUACUUUUGCAGCGGAAAGAAUCUAUCUACUGAAAAAACUUUCAAUUUAAGACUUACAAAAGUGAUACUCAGACAACACCUCAUCUAACAACACGCCACCCAACAGAAGGACCAAACAUGCCCUAAACUCAAAGAGAGCCACAUUACUUUGUUAUAUUGACCGGUGAAAUUGCUUUCGUUUAAGUUUUAACUAUUUCUUUAUCCUGUGCUUUUGUUCCAUUUCUGAUAUUGAAAAGAAACUCUACUUUCGAGUUUCAUCUCACCUGAACACUACAAGCAACAAAAAAGAAGGCACUGUAUGCAUCCUCUGUAACAAUUAUUAAGCUGAAUUGCAAGCAAAUCUUAGCAAGAUAAACAUGAAAAUGACCAUGUAACUACUACAUUCAUGUCACCUCUAUUGAGGAAAAAGGGAUUUACAAUACAGAUCCAAAAGAGAAGCACAUUUCUUUCUCUUAUUUUUGGGUGUGCCUACUACUCGAGUUCCUCUACCAAUGUACCUACACACUCAUAAAGCUCCUUCCUUUUUUACUACGCCAGGUAAUCAGGGUCACAAUUGAAGACCAUAUCGACAACGUCAUAAGAGAAAAUUGGAAGAAGCAAAGGUGCGCAUUAAUCUUCUAUCAUCUGCUGCCUUUGUAUCUCGUCUAUAUACGACAUGAAAGAGUUUUCGGAACCAUUCGUCGCAUUAUUACUGCCUCGGCAUUGCAACAGCUGUUGCUGAAGGCUUUGAAUAAACUCGUUCAACCGCUGAAUAGUCUUUUCUUGGGAUAAGAUAAUCUACAACAACGGAGUAACAAUCACGCUUAAUUAAUCACUUAAAUUAUAGUGCAAAAGCGUUACGCAAAAAGAAAGUAUAUUAGGUCGGGGUUUACCUUCUCUUUUACAACUUCUUGUCUAUUUGAAAUAUGCUGCUGAUUCUGAGAAAUGCCGGGAGUUGUUUCCAGUUCGCUCACAAGUUGUUGCUUCCAUUCGAAUUGCGAUGUUAUGAUCAGUAUCACUAGCAGAAAAACAAGAACUAUAGGUCUUGACAUCAUGUCGAAUGAUUAGGACGAACCUAUAAAUGAAGUUAGGUAUAUUUAGCAUUAUCAUCAACAAGAUUAAAGUUUAUAUCACUAAAGCAACAAAAAAUUGGGGUAGUUGAUAUUUAUUGCAAAAAGAAUAAACACCACCAACAUAACAGUAACAAGCACAAAAGGGAAAACAACACGAACAACAUAACAACCACAAAAACAGCAGCAGAAGCAGUGAGUCAAGUUCCAACUUUUCGAUGUCAACUUCAACAACCUUUUUCGUCGUUUCUACCGUACAAGUUUACUCCCCAAAACAACGAAAACCUUUCCACUCAUUUAAAGGAGUAUCCUUUACUAUGUAUCUAUAAGUCAUACUGAGCAUAAAAACCCAAUAAUCACGUGUAUCAUUCCUAACAUUUCCUACACAGCUCCAUGUUUCGAUCAUAUGGUGUCAUUUAAAUCUUCACACUCCUUGAACAAUUGGUAAAUAUAUCUCCUCGAUAUGUAUCGAUACAUCACGUGCAUCUCUCCUGAGAUAGUCGCAAAAGUCUAUUUACUAUGAUUAUUCAAUGAUAACACUAAUUGCCACAUCUCCUAGAAUAUCUCAUGAUUAAUGAACUUGAAGGAAUCCUCUUUUCCCAGUGCUAUCCACUAUUAGCCCAAAAGACCAACACCUUGUAUAUAUCAUCUUUUACUGCAUAUGAAAAUUUUUCAUUUGCUCUAAUAUCCCUAUUGAGCUCUCUCAAUUCUACCACUCAGCAGCAACAAAAUUGAUCAUAACCCAGUUAAUAUCCACACAUUCUGUAACCAAUCAUGGAACAACUACCCCAUAUCCCUACAUAUAAACAAACAUUCGUAGCUUUUACUAACCUCAAUCAUGCAUUUGAAUCCGCAUUAGCUGCUACUUUUUUCUCAAUUCACAUACUAAACCUUGCAUAAGGGGAAAAAAAAUAAAAAAUCGGUGAGAUUACUCACAGAGCAUUCCAUUAGUCGCGACGCUCGAUCGAUCGAAAGGGCUCCGUCCCCUUCUUCGUUCCCGAUCUUCGAUUAGAGGGUUAGGGUUUUUGGCCGAUUCCGUGCUCCAAUAGCGGGCGAUGGGUUUCUGAUUUGGGGAAAGCAUCGUCGACAAUUUUGAUUAUUUUCCCCUCACAUUCUUUUUUUUUUUUGGAUCGGGUCUCCCACGUAAUCCAUGAACCGUCCAUGAGUGGUUUCACACCAUUUUUUUUUUUUUUAAUUUUAGUACGAUGUGCUGUAAAUUGUAUCAAUUUAGUAUUUCGUAAUUUUAUUUUUCUCUUUUUAUUAUUUAAUUAUUAAUUUUUUUUUCGUUAAAUCAGUAUCAAAGUUAAAAUUAAAAGAUAAUGUGAAUAUUCGAUAAAUCUAAAUAAGGUAUCUGACGUUUUUUAUAUAUAAUUUAUCGAAAUGUUACGGAGAAAUUGAUAAAAAGAGAAAAAUAAAAAUACAGAAUACUAAAUUGAUAUAUUUUAAAUCAUAAAUUACUAAAAUAUGAAACACUGCGGUGCUAUUUGAAGUUUUUUUUUUUUUUUGCCCUCUUAUUUUUGGGAUUGAAGGAUGAUGCGGUCUAGGGAUGACAUGGUGAACCAGAUCCAGGUAAGUUUCAUCUUUUUUUGGCUCAUUUCCCUCCUUAACUGGGCCGUGUAACAUUUGCGCGGGAACCCUCACACUAUUGGACCCCAUUAUUUGGGCCCCUCGCCUCACUUUGGGGCCUCAUCGAAACCAUGUGAAAACCCAGGGAAACCUCCUCUUCCCUGUUUGGCCUCUCCCCUNAUAAAACCCAAUAAUCACGCGUAUCGUUCCUAACAUUUCCUACACAGCUCCAUGUUUCGAUCAUAUGGUGUCAUUUAAAUCUUCACACUCCUUGAACAAUUGGUAAAUAUAUCUCCUCGAUAUGUAUCGAUACAUCACGUGCAUCUCUCCUGAGAUAGUCGCAAAAGUCUAUUUACUAUGAUUAUUCAAUGAUAACACUAAUUGCCACAUCUCCUAGAAUAUCUCAUGAUUAAUGAACUUGAAGGAAUCCUCUUUUUCCAGUGCUAUCCACUAUUAGCCCGAAAGACCAAAACCUUGUAUAUAUCAUCUUUUACUGCAUAUGAAAAUUUUUCAUUUGCCCUAAUAUCCCUAUUGAGCUCUCUCAAUUCUACCACUCAGCAGCAACAAAAUUGAUCAUAACCCAGUUAAUAUCCACACAUGCUGUAACCAAUCAUGGAACAACCACCCCAUAUCCCUACAUAAAAACAAACAUUCGUAGCUUUUACUAACCUCAAUCAUGCAUUUGAAUCCGCAUUAGCUGCUACUUUUUUCUCAAUUCACAUACUAAACCUUGCAUAAGGGGAAAAAAAAUAAAAAAUCGGUGAGAUUACUCACAGAGCAUUCCAUUAGUCGCGACGCUCGAUCGAUCGAUCGAUCGAAAGGGCUCCGUCCCCUUCUUCGUUCCCGAUCUUCGAUUAGAGGGUUAGGGUUUUUGGCCGAUUCCGUGCUCCAAUAGCGGGCGAUGGGUUUCUAAUUUGGGGAAAGCAUCGUCGACAAUUUUGAUUAUUUUCCCCUCGCAUUCUUUUUUUUUUGGAUCGGGUCUCCCACGUAAUCCAUGAACCGUCCAUGAUAUAAUUUUUUUUAUGUGGUUUUUUUUUUUAUUUUAGUACAAUGUGCUGUAAAUUGUAUCAAUUUAGUAUUUCGUAAUUUUAUUUUUCUCUUUUUAUUAUUUAAUUACUAAUUUUUUUAUUAAAUCAGUAUCAAAGUUAAAAUUAAAAUAUAAAGUAAAUAUUCGAUAAAUCUAAAUAAGAUAUCUAUAUCUAACGUUUUUUAUAUAUAAUUUAUCGAAAUGUUACGGAGAAGUUGAUAAAAAAAAUAAAAAUAAAAAUAUAGAAUACUAAAUUGAUACAUUUUAAAUCAUAAUUACUAAAAUACGAAACCACUGCGGUGCUAUUUGAAAUUUUUUUUUUUUCCCCCUCUAAUUUUUCGGAUUGAAGGAUGAUGCAGUCUAGGGAUGACAUGGUGAACCAGAUCCAGGUAAGUUUCAUCUUUUUGGGCUCAUUUCCCUCCUUAACUGGGCCGUGUAACAUUUGCGCGAGAACUCUCACACUAUUGGACCCCAUUAUUUGGGCCCAUCGCCUCACUUUGGGGCCUCAUCGAAACCAUGUGAAAACCCCGGGAAACCUCCUCUUCCCUCUUUGGCCUCUCCCCUCCCUAUGACCCUCCUCCGCCUCCCCAAACCCUCCUCCCCCACCGCCGCCGCCGCCGCCGCGGAGCCGAGCGUCGCCGCACUCCUCGGCCUCUGCCGCAGCGUCCGCGCCCUGGAGCAGGUCCACGCCCUCAUCAUCCGCAGGGGCCUGGAGCAGCACCACGCCCUCCUCACCCGCUUCGUCUCCCUCUGCGGCUCCUUCGCCGCCCCCUCCUACGCUGCCGCGGCGUUCCGCGCCGUCGCCGCCCCCUCCCUCCUCCUCUUCAACGCCGUCCUCGCCGCCCAUGCCCGCAGCUCCCCGCUUCCCGCCACCCUCGCCCACUUCAACCUCCUCCGUCGCCGCUCCCCCGACCCCCCCGACGCCUUCUCCUUCCCCUCCCUCCUCCGCUCCUGCGCCCGCGCCGCCGCGCUCCCCGCCGGCGCCGCCGCCCACGCCGCCGCCCUCCGCUCCGGCCUCGACGCCGACCUCUUCGUCCGCACCGCCCUCGUCGACUUCUACGGCAAGUGCCGCGACGUCGCCGCCGCGCGCCGCCUCUUCGACUCCAUGGAGGUACGCAACAAUGUCUCCUGGACCGCGAUGCUCAUCGGGUAUCUCGCGGUUAAUGAUCUAGCGUCGGCCCGCGCCCUGUUCGACGAAAUGCCUGCGAAAAAUGUGGUGUCUUUCAAUGCCAUGAUCGACGGGUAUGCCAAAUCCGGGAAUCUGGCGAGUGCUCGGAAGCUGUUUGACGAAAUGCCGGAGAGAAAUAAAGUAUCUUUCACUUCCUUGAUAGAUGCGUAUGCAAAGGCCGGAGACAUGGUCUCUGCGAGGUCUUUGUUUGAUAAAUUGAAGGAUAGGGAUCUAUUCUCAUGGUCGGCAGUGAUCUCGGGCUAUGCCCAGAAUGGUCGUCCCGGUGAGGCCUUAAAGAUCUUCUCUGAUUUCUACGAACAGAACAUCAGACCCGACGAGUUUAUUGUUGUAGGGCUGAUGUCGGCAUGUGCUCAAUUGGGUAGCCUCACAUUGGCCAAAUGGGUCGAUUCAUACAUUACCCGUUGUUCAAUCGAUACGAACAACUCCCGUGUCUUUAUAGGCCGUAUAGACAUGAAUGCAAAGUGUGGCAACAUGGAAAGGGCUUCUCUCCUGUUCGAUUCAAUGCCGGAUAAAAAUGUUGUCUCAUACUGUUCUAUGAUGCAAGGGUAUCUUCUUCAUGGGUCUGGAGCAAAGGCCGUCGAGCUCUUCUCCCAGAUGCUUGAGGAGGGGCUUUCACCUGAUAAUGUUUCUUUCACUGUGGUCCUCACUGCAUGUAGCCAUGCUGGCCUAGUCGAGGAAGGGAAGAAGUAUUUUGCGCUGAUGAGGAAUGAGUUUUCUAUUGUUCCAUCUUCAGACCAUUAUGCUUGUAUGGUGGACCUUCUUGGUAGGUCGGGGAAAUUGAAAGAGGCAUAUGAGCUUAUAGAAUCGAUGCCUGUGGAACCUCAUGCUGGGGCAUGGGGUGCAUUGUUGGGUGCUUGUAGGGUACAUUGUGAUAUUGAGCUCGGAGAUAUUGUAGCGAAGAAGCUUUUCAAAAUAGAACCUCAGAAUGCUGGUAAUUAUGUCUCACUAUCAAACAUCUAUGCGGCUGCUGAUAGAUGGGAAGAUGUGUCGGAUGUGAGGACAAUGAUGAGAGGCAGAGGGGUUAGGAAGAUACCUGGUUGCACAUUCAUUUUGCCUUAAGUAAGUGUACUCUUGAUCAUUUGAUUGCAACAACUGGAAGAUAACUGGUCGUAAAGUGCUUCCUUAAUCCUUCUGGGGAAUAAUUUUUUGGAUUGAUGAAGCUGGCAAGGAGCCAGAGAAGUUAAGAAUUAGUGCUUUUGGGAACGCUAUUCAAUUCAGCUCGCCACAGGUGAAAUUUGAUUAUUUUAUUGGACAGUGGUCUUUCUGACAAAUUUCUCUAUUUUGAUUUUCUUCUUUGUUUCUUUAGUUCAAUGAUGUAUAUGUAGUUGCGCUAACUUUCACUCUUCAUCUUCGACUUGACUCGGCUUUUAGCAAUGCACAGAGAUAAUUUUCCCAAUUGCUGACGCGAGCAUUGAGAGCUUAUAUCCACCUAAAGUCACAGCUUCGGUGUGCCAAAACCAAAAUGGUGUGCCACCUAGGUCACAUUGGAUCGCCACAGACUUUAGUGCAAAGUCAGUCUACCAUGCUUUAAUUGUAAUCUUAGUUUCUAUAAUAGUAUUAUAUUUGAUCUAGCUUCGGCCACUCAUUGCUUCUUUUUUCGGCGGGCGAUAAAGACUGCGGUGAAUAGGAUUGGGAGUAAAAUCAUCUUCUUCAAUGGGUUGACAGUUUCGUGGAGUGCUGGAGGGUGAAUAUCUUCACUAAAUUAUUGUUAUUUUUCCUUUAAAAGAUAUAUGUUAGUUUUCUAUUAUUCGAACCAUACAAUUGAUGCGGUCCUCUCAUUGUUUGUUGCUGGUAUAUUGAAGAAUAUCACGAAGAGUAUCAUAACAGGUGUUGCACCUGAAGAUUACGCAUUAUCACCACCUCAUCUUUCUUAUCAUCUCUGAAAGAAUAUUAAUUCACAAUUAAUUUGACUUUAUAUAUUGCUUUUCUUGGCUCUUUUUUUUUUUCUUUCAUUCCUUUGCAGGGGCCGAUUGUGUAGACCUUCGGCCAUCCUCAAAGGAGGAUCCCAUGAGGCUGAAGAGUACGACGAGGAGAGAUAUGCAGAUACUGUCAUAGUGGCUAAAGCAAUUCUAUGAAGAUAUAAAGGGUCGGUACUACAUCUGAAUUCCACAAUUUUAUUAGUAAUAAUCUUUUCAUGUUCAUUAUUAUUUGCCCAAAGCUAUACCUAAAGUAAUUAUUAAUUAUGCAUUAUCUUGGGAUGAUUAUAUGGACUAGUGCUUGUAUUGACCUCAUGCCUAAGUAAACCAAAAGAAGAGUAUUAAGUGUUUAGCUGCAUAUCUGUCCACAUGUAUAUCAAUACUUUUGUUUAACUUUUCCGUCCAAAAUUAGUACUAUUUUGCUCCUGACAGAUGUGGCGAGUUUUCUUCUCUCUUGCACUUGAGGAUAUGAAACAAGGACAUGACUCUACAGGAAAGCAUUUUCUUGUUUCUUUUGAAAAGUCUCUAUAGGUAAAGAACUAUAGCUUAGUAAAUUCUUCUCUCAGUGGAAACUUUAUAUUCCUUUUAGAAUUGGUUGACUGAUAGGACGGCUUCGCAUUUUCGCAACAAAAUUUCCGUCAAUAACCCAACAAAAUAGAACAAUUUCAAAAGCAUCAUUACAUUAGGUACAGACGAUGGAAGAUACAGGUGGUAUAUAAAGAGAAUAGUGUCAUUGCAUAACAAGGUAUUAAUUCUUCUAGAAGUAACCGUCAGCCCUUCCUUUGAACCCAAUCUGACCAAAUGUCAGGCAAAGGAACAACCCUAUGUGCCAUGUGAUCAUCCACAACCUGCAAAUUAUGAUCAUAAAUGAAAUCGCACUGCUAAUUAAAUAAUUAUCGAAGAAUUAAAUCAAAUAAAAUGACAAUGAGUUCAAACAGACCAGAAUUGAGAAUUGAGUGCGGGGCCUGUGGGCCAGUGGGCCAGCUCGGCUCCAAUGCUCUGGAAGAAGAGCCCGGUGAGGCUGUUGCCAUUGAUCGCCGGAAUGCUUGAUGGCGCAAGCCACCCGAUCAACCCGAACCCGAUUACAUUUAGGUCAGUCCUGAGCCAGUCCCUCUCAAAGCUUUGGUAUAGAAUCCGGAACAGGAGGAAAAGUAAAUUCACACAUCCAUGUCAAAUAUUUCUCCUCCUGAUUUAGGCUUAAGCUACUAUGGUGAUUAACAGUAAGGAGAGUACACAAUUGCAAAUGCCACUUACCAAGUGAAUCUCCCACCAUAAGCUAUCUUCUGAUUCAGAGGGUUUCUUGAGGCCACCUGGGUCCUUAUGAAUCCUAUAUAGAGUUCCAAACGGUCAAUGCAUCCAAAAUUUCUACGGGAGUCUAAGAAAAGAACAUUGUUGAAUAUGUGAAAUGAACCAGAUGAUCUUUUCCUUUGGUUGUAGUAUUAGGGUCUAUUUGGCUUUACUGUAGCAUGUAGUGAUGUUUGGUUCACUAUUUUCUAUAAGGAGAAACAACACUAUGUUAAAAUCUUUGCAACAGUUUUUUCUACAACGAAAUUAGAAUCUAGUGAGAUUUAGCUUUUGAAAUCAUGUUUAUAAUAUUUGCUAGUUCUAAUCAGUCUAUUUGUCAAAUUUUUUAUCUGAAAUAAUUGCAACUGAAAACAGAAAUAGAAGCGGGCCAAGUAGACCCCUAAACUAGUAGUACUAGAAGUACCAGAGGUGAGAGAUGGCUUCGAAGAUCGGCGGGCGAGGGAAAGUGGAGAGCCCAAGCCUGCAAUGUGGGUGGUGGUCGCCAUUGUUGCCAUUUCUCUCUUCCUCGUAUGUUUUCUCUGAGUUGAAGGGUUGUUGCAAACUAUUAGAGGCUGAGUAUGCUUGGUUUUGCAGAAGUAUGAUAUGAGCUCGUGUGAUGUGGAUCACUUCCCAUGGAUGAAACGGAUUCGUUGGGAGGGAUGCGAGCUAAUGGCGGUGCGCCACCUGGACACUUGUGGAUAAGAUAUGAUGUUUAUUUUUUUUGCGAUCUGAGUAUUAAAGGAAAAUAAUGCUAUGUGUGUGUCAAAAUGUACCCAAGUAUAUAAUUGAUGAGUUGGUGCAUUUUUAUAUUAUUAUAUUAGGCGCCAUCCACAAAUUUUGCUGGGUGUGCGUGUGUAUCUCUUGGUGCUUUUUUUCUUUUUUUUUUUUUUUUUUUUUUUUAAGUAUUCUUUAUUUGGAGUAUGUCUAUGUAAUUGGAUACAUUGGGUGAAUUCUUCGCAAAAUAUGAAUCUUUAAAAAAUGUUGCGGUUCGUUUCCUGAUGGCUAAUGUACUAAACUUUUUUACCAAUGUCCUUUCCAUCAUAUUCCUCAAAAAAAAAAAAGAAAAAAAAUUUGAAAAAAAAAACAAAAGAAGAUCUAUUACAUAGUUAGUGCAUAAGCCCAUUACUGCUCAACACAGUUUUUUUCACGAGGCCCAAAAAUAAAAGCCCGUUAAUGAUCACCAGUAGGCCGUGGCUCGGGCUAUUGGGCCUUGUUGUACACAUAUUCAGCCCAUGUAAUGCCUAUAUCUUUUUUGUCAAGUUAUUGGGCUGGGCUGAAUCUAACAUUCUUAUUGGGCUGCACUAAAAUUAUAUGGGCUUUUUUGAGCCCAAGAUUCCCGUUGAUAAGUCUAUUUUUGGUAUGUUUCGUUUUUUAUCCUAGAAAGGAAAGUUUUCAGUUUCAGGGCGUUUAAUCAAAUGUUUUCUCGCGAUAUCUCCACCUCGUGAUAUAUAAUAAUACGGUGUUCUCACCACGGUUUCGCUUAGAUGUAUUGAAUGAUCCCCAUCCGUACUAAACAUUUUGUGAUCAAUGUCUUAAAAAAUGUAAUAUGACAAUCUAAUAGAUGGAACCUCUGAUAUUUAAGAACAAUAGAUAUUUGAAAACAUUUUUGCUCUCGAUUCAAUCUCUAAAUUUUCCGUAUUUGAAAAGGUUAUUUGAGUGGUAAUUUAAAAAAUAAUAGGGGUUCCAUGAACAAAUGGAUGUUGGUGGUCUAUAGCUUAGCAUGGUGAACCAGGUGCAGGGAACAACAAUUUGUUCCAAGAGGUUUAUUGGACGUUAACUUCGUCCAAAACUGAAACUUUCCAUUUUAGGUAAAAAAACGAGACGUGUAUAAAAUAGACUUUACCAAAAAUGGAAGGUCCGGCUCCGCAAAAGCCCAUUAGAGAGAAUCUAUGGGCCGUUUAAAGGCCCAUUAGGCCGUUAGGGCCAUUAAUAUAUUUGGCCCACAUAUCACCCGCAAAAUAAUUUUUCUCCAAGGUUAUGUUAUUCUUAUUGGGCCGGGCCCCACAUGUCAGUGCAACGCAAUAACCGUGACUAAUUAAUUUACUUAUUAUUCAACUUAGAUAAAUUAAUAUAAAUUGAAAUAACUAACUUUAAAUUUCAUGGAUCUAUGUUAAAUUGACCUAUAAAUAGUAGAAGGAUCCAAAUACUCUUUUUUUUUUCCUUUUUUUUUUUUUUAAAGGUUGGGUGGUUAAUGUAAAGUAAAACAUGUAUGUAGAAUGUAGAAUGUAGACCCCUAACCUUUUUAGACUUCGAUAGUGAGUAGUUUAACUAGGAAGCCUCUAGAGUUGCUUUUUGAAUGUGGGGCCAAAUUUUUCCGGGUGUAGACUAGGCAAUAAUUUCUCAGGAAGGGCCAGGGAUUUGCUCAUCAUAUAUACAUAUAUGAGCUCAUUUACCAUCUAUUCUAAGGAUUGAGUCAUCUAUAUGUGUGUGUGUGUGUGUGUGUUUUUCUUGUAUAUUUGCAUCAAUGUGGUAGCUAGGGACCAGCCACGGUGCAUGCUUAUGUAUCUGACAUGUACUCUUUCUUAAGUAUUUUCUUGUAGUAUCAUCUAGGGUGACAUAUGAUUGCUGACUUAAAAACAAAAAAAAAGAAAGAAGAAGCAAAGAUAGAGAGAAACUGCAGCUCCAAAGCUCCAAAAUCAGGUGUUACAUAAGAUUGUAACGUCGCAAUAAUUCCAUAUUGGAUGAAAAAAUAAUUCUGAUUUGAAAUUAUAUGAAGCCUUGCAGGUUGAUAAUAUUAACCAUACUUACGUAUUUUGAUAUCGGUUGUUUGGAUACAACGAGUUAUUAUUACUGACGGAUCGGAUCGUUACAUUUAUUGUAGAAUUUAACAUGGUAAAUCCAUUACCAUGUUAAAUUCUGCUUUAAAAUUUACAUAAAUGGUAAUCCGUUAGCUCACACCAAUCCUCCUUACUGAGUUUUUUUUUUUUUUUUUUUCAGCGGAUAAUAUACUUGUUCUAUCGAAAAAAAUCAUUUUGUUGGAGCGACGAAGAAAUUUUUAAAACAACUAUUUCUGCGCUUAAAUCAUGUCUCUACUUUGUAAACAUCAUACAACACAGGAUUAAAUAAAUCUAAUUCUGUUUUAAAAAAAAUUAAUUUCAGUCGUCUAUAUAUAUAUAUCAUAUAUAUAUAUAAUAUUUAUAUAAGUAUAUUACAGUAUUGAGGCUUUUUGGUCAAACAUCUAAUAGUUUUGGUAUAAAUCACUCCUUAAAUCUAUUAAUAACCUUUGAUCAAACACUAUCCACCAACCCACCUGAAAAACCUAAUUCGUCCAACCAUCAUAUCUCAACCUGCUACAUUCAUUCAAUCCAAAAGCAAAUAAAACUCAAAAACACGACUCCGCUUUGACUCUUUUUGAAAGUAUUCCAAAGCCACUAUAUAUAUAUAUAUAAAUGUUUGAGCUAGAAAUACUCUCAAAAAACGACAUCAAGAGAUUUGUGCUUUUGAGUUCUUUAACCCUUAGACUGGAAAAAAAUGUAAGGUUGAGACUGAAGGCGGUGAGUGAGGGAGGAUAUACAAGUGCAGGGUGGAGUCAUUGAGGGCAGACAGUGGUCAUGCUCCCCUCCCCCUCACUGAAAUUAUCUUAAAAAUUACAUUAAAAUUCCUUAUUAUAAAAUAUAAAUAAAAUAUUAUAAAUUAAUUUUAGUUACGAAACCAAAAAUAAUUUUUUUUUAAUAAAAUAUUUUGCCUCAAUUUUUUUUCGAUAUUUCUAUUGGUCCUUUUCUCACUUACAAACUCUUACGGUCUUAGUUUAAAUCUUUUAAAACAUAUGUCAUUAAUUAUAUUGCUUAAGUAAUAUAUAACUUGAGUGAAUCCGACAAAUUUUUUUUCUCUCUUAAUCGACCGAUAGAAUUUUUCUAAACACUUAUCAAAAUAAUCUAAAUUUUGGCGCCACCCCACCGCCCGACAUCUAAUUCUGACUUCAUCGCCUGAGAUGCUGGCUAAAGGCAUGACACUAGUAGUUGAUUCAACGAGCUAUCUAGUAAUUCAAAGGGUAUAAUCCAUGACUAGAAACCUUAAGAAGCAUCAAAGCAGGGUGAUACUUGCUAAAAGUAUCUAGCUCAAACUUAUAUAUAUAUAUAAUAUAUUAUAUAGUAGAGCUACUAAUGCUAUUAUAUAGCACCCUAAGUUUUAUUAUGGAGCGACCACCAUCAAGUUUUUGGUCCAUUUGGAUUAAGAGAUGUGUGGUUAGGCAAAUCAAUGGUGCGCCCGCGUACGGUUGAUGGAUGGUUGAUUGAAUAGUCAUAUCUUAACGGAGUGAAAACUGAGCAAAAAUGCAUCUAAUGAUAUCUAAACGCGCGAAAACUUGUUAGCAUCAAAGUGCUUCCAUAGCUAGUAAUAGCAAGUAGCCACCGACCAUAAUAUAUACUAUACUAUAUAUAUAUAUAGUCAUAUAAGUUACUAAACAAUUAUGGCUGAAAUAUUAAUUAAUAGUCUAAAAAAUUAACACGAGCAAUUUAGUCGCCAUCAUUCAAUUUUCGUAAACUUCUUUGAAUUAAAAGAUGUUAGGUAGAUAUGAUGUGACCCUUGAACUGAGGUUGAGUGAGUCUGCUUGGUUAAAUAAAUUAAUAUCUAAAAUCGCGAAUGAAAGUGAUAAAAAGAUAUAAAAUCAACAAUGGUAUUAAAUAAUUUGAAUAGCACAAAAUAAUUCGUAACUAUGAAUAGUAUCGUCUUAACCAGCCGGACAUAUAUACAUAUAUAUAUAUAGUUAGGAUAGAAUACUUUUACAGUAUCACACAACGUGAAUACUUUGUGUUUUUUAGCCUUCGAUGAGAGAUCUGAGUUGAGAUAUGGCUCCGUACGCCUGUGGGUUAAAUGUGGAAUACGGUUGAUCCAAGGUGCUAUUUGUAAAUUACAAAAAGUAAUCCACAUGUAAAAAACCAUGAUACACACAAUGGGGAUUGAUAACUUGUAUACAAGUAAUCUUUAGAUCAACUCUAUAUAUAAAUACCUAUAUAAUAGUAUUAUAUUAGUUAUAUAUAUCAAUCAUAAAAUGACCAUGUGAAUACUCUCAAAUUCCUUCCCCCAUGUAACUCUCCUCGCUUCCUUUCUUCCACUCGUCCUCCCCACUACGAGAAGAAAGGACGGGAACCGUCGGGGAGAUACGUGGCCCAAAGCACCAGUGGUCCCGCACGAGACGACAACGCAAUCCCUGAUCGACACCGUUGUCCUCCUCUGAUACCCUAUUACCGACCAGAGCACCUGUAGAUAUCGUGGGCGCGACAGUGAGCCCACAAAAGAGAGCACCGCGUGCCCCUUGGGGGGCGUGCUGCUCGGGCCCACGUGGCGUUAAUCAGCAUAUAUAUAUAAUAUCAUACUAUCACUAUACUAUACUAUAUAUAUAUAUACUAUAUAGUAUAUAUAUACGAGGUACGGCUAGAAAUACUUUUACAAGUACACUCAAGGUAAACUUUGAUUUUUUAACCGCAUUGACUCUAACUUUUUGAUUAACUAAUCCAGUCUUUCGGACCUCAAACACAUUUCCAGCUUAUCACACAUACUACCUACCACCACACUUACCAUUAAUUCACUUCUUCAUCCAUCACCAAUUAUCUCCCAUCCAAAGUGGCUACGAAACAGUUAUGCCAGUGGUAAAGCACAAGUAUCACUUGGUUGAUACUUCUUAACAAGAUAUUAUUCAACGUCUACACUAAUAAUAUAGUUAUAAUUAAUACUAUGAAUCACCUAUAUAGUACACUAUCAUAUAUAUAGUAUGAUAUAUAUAUGUGACUAAUGAAGUGGAAGCUCUCUAUUGAUAGGAUAUGAAAUACGUAAGGCAUUUAUCACUAUCUAAAUUUUCGUGUGGUUUUUUCAGCGGAUAUAUACUUUGGUUCUAUGGAAAAAAAUCAUCUUUUUGUUUGGAGACGAAGAAAAGUUGUUUAGAACAACUAUUUUGGCGUUAAAUCCAGGUCUCUUAUUUGUAAAGUAUCAGCAACAAGGCAUUCAUGUACAGAUUCUGAAUUUGUUUUUAAAAAAAAAUUAAAUGUGAGUGUCCUCAUACUAUAAUAUAUAUAAUAUAGUAUAUAUAUAUAUAUUAAUAGCGGUUUUGUGAUUCAAACACUUAGUUUUUGAUAUACUCUUGAAUCAUUAAAACCUUUGGGAUCAAACACUAUUCGCCACCCCGACCAGACCUAUGCCAUCAUCUCAACCCUAAUUUCUUCAUCCAAAAGUAAAAAUCACAUAAAGCAGCAUCCUCUUUGGUACUUUUGGAAGUAUUGCUAGCUCCAACUAUAUAUAAUAUAUAGUAUAUUUUGAGCUAGAAUACUGCUCAAAAAGCAUCAAGAGAUCUUGUGCUGUUUGAGUUGUUUUAACCCUUUAAUGGAUAAAAAUGUGAACGUUGAGAUGGCGUGCGUAGGGUGGUGCAAGGGUGGAGUCAUUGAGGGCCAGACAGUGGUCAUGCUCCCUCCCCUCCUAAAUUUUUUAAAAUUACGAUAAAAGUCCUUCUAUAUAAAAAAUUAAAAUAUUAUAGAAUUAUUAAUUUAGUAGCCAAAUUAAUUUUUUAAUAGAAAUUUGUGCGCUCAAUUUUUUUUAAAAUUCGAAUUUCUUGCGUCCUUAUUCCCUUCUCAACUUUACGGUGGCGUGUCUUCUCUUAAACAUAUUGUCGUUGAGUUAUUGCUAGUAAUAACUGAGUGAAUCCGAAAAGUUUUUUUUCCUAUUAUUGCGAAGAUCGAAUUUUUUCCUAUCAAAUCUAAUUUUGGCGCCCCCCCCACCCCGAAUCUUAAUUUCUGAUAUCAUCCCUGAGAUGGUGGUGACGGUGGAAUGUAGUUGGAUUCGAAGGAGCUAUUGAGUAAUCACAGGAGUAAAUCCAAGGACUAGAAACUAGAAAGCAGUCAAGAGCGGGAUACUCUAUAAAGUAUUCUAGCUCAAUUAUAUAUAUAUAUACUAUUAUUAUAUAUAUAUAGAGGCUACUAUGACUAUUAAAUAGCACCAAGUUAUUGAUGCUACGGCCCGAAAAGUUUUUGGCCAUCUGGAUUAAGAGAUGCUGUGGUUAGAUGAAUGUGGGCCCGGCGUAGGGUUAUGGAUGGUUGAUUGAAUAAGUAUGAUCUAACGGAGCUGAAAACUGAUCAAAAAGAGUAGGAUCUAACGCGCGAAACGUUGGUCAGCCAUCAGUGCUUCAUCGCACCUAUUAAUAGCAUAGUAGCGACUCCAUAUAUUAUAUAUAUAUAAUAUAUAUAUAUAUAUAUAACUGGCUGAAAUAUUAUAAGUACUAAUGCUUAGUGCCUUAUUAAGUUUUCUACAUACUUGAGAAUUAAAAGAUGUGCGGUUAGGAUCGAUGUACCUUAAGGUGAGUGAGUGGUUGGUUUAAGAUAGCUUAUUACAUCAUAACGGAUAGAAAGUGAUGAAAAAGAGAUAUAAUUAACGGUGAAAAUUUGUAAUAGACACCAAUAAUUCCGUACUAUGGAAUAUGUAUCGCCCAUGCCGGACAUAUAUAUAGCAUAUAUAUAUGAGUAGGCUAUGAAUAACUUGUACAAAGAUAUCACCCAAGUGAUACUUGUCGUGUUUUUUAGGCCUUGGAGUGGAGAAGGCAUGUGAGGUUGAGAUGAUCGGUGGUGGAAUGGUGGUAAUGUGGAAUAGUGUUGAGGUGCCAAGGCUAUUUGUAAUUAAAAAGUAGAUCCACAUGGGUUAAAAACACUGAUAGGCAACAUGGAGGAUGAUACUUGUAAAAUCAUGCUUAGAUCAAUCUAUAUAUAUAUAGUAUAUGAUAUAUAUAUAUAUAUAUAUAUAUAAAAUGAGCAGUGUGCUCUAAUAUUCGUUCCCCAUGUAAACCUCUCUCGCUCUUAAACCACUCUCCUCGCCACGUACGGAGAAGAGAAGGAGGGGAAGUGAGGGAGAUACGUGGGGCCCCAAGCACCCAAUGGGUCCCGCACGUAUGACCCAACGCAUCCCUGUCGACAGUGUCCUCCAUGAUACACUAUUGACCACCGAGCCACCGUAGAUUCGUGGCCUCAGUGGGGCCGCACAAAAGAGACCCCGCGGUGUCCAUUGGGGGCGAUGUGGGGCCCACGUGGGCGUUAAUAGCAUAUUAUAUAAUAAUAUAUAUAAUAUAUAUAUAUAUAUAUAAUAUAUGAUAUAUAUAGAGUAGGCUAGAAUACCUUUUACAAGUAUCACUCAAGUGAUACUUGUGUGUUUUGUAACAUUGGAUCUACUUUUUGAUUAACUGAAAUGUCUUUGGAUCACAACACUUUCCCACCAUACCACACCUACCACCUACCUACCAUCAUCAUCUCAACCUCACAUUUUCAUCCAAGGGCAUAAAAACCAGCACAAGUAGUCACUUGGGUUAAAGGGAGUACUUGUAGGAGGUGAGGGUGGCUAACGUUACUAACGCAUAUACCUUAUAAUUAUAUACUAUAUAUAUAUAUAUAUAUAUGAAUAUAUAUAUAUAUAUAUAUUAGGGCUACUAUCCUAUUGAUAGGAUAGUAGCAUUUAUCCUAUCAAAUUGUUCUUGAUGAUAGAGAUUCCGAAUCUAUGAUCGGAGCAUUGAAGUUGAUCUAGAGUAUUUGAAAUAUUUAGAAAUUAAAUUUCAUAAAUUUUAAAAAUUAUUUAUAUGGUGAUCAAAGCGUCGUAAAAUUGACAAUUUUUGACGGCCUUUAUAAGCCGUUUGCUUGUUUAACGGUGUAGAGUAAUCCAAAUUGCUUGAAUUUUUGAUAGAAAAUUUUUUAUACUAUUUAGAUAAUGUUUGAUAAUUCUGAUUAUGAAUUGAGGAAGUCUAACCUCUAUUUUAAUAAGGUUAUUCAUUUAUGACCGUUCAUUUUUCAACUCUUAAGAUGAACUUGAUAAUGAAUUUUAAAUAUUACAAAAUUUAGUUUCUAAACAUUCUAAUUAUGUAGAUCAAUUUCAACGGUGCUGAUUAUCAAUUUGAAGCUCCCAUCAUUCAAAUCGACUUGAUAGGACAAUAUCCUCAAUCCGAUUAAUAGGAUAGUAGAUGGACUAUAUAUAUAUAUAUAUAUAGUCCAGCUACGGUGCUUGUAAAAGCAUCAAGCACUUGGUGCUUGUAAGUUUUUCGAAUCGACGAUUCACGCCGUUAAACAUGAUCUAGAGUAUUUGAAACUUCUAGAAAAUAAAUUUCAUAAAUUUUUGAAAUCAUUAUAAAGUCCAUCAAGCGAGUAUAAAAUGAAUGGUUAGAAUUGAAUGACAUCCUAAAUAUGGAUGAUCGGAUCCUUCAAUUUAAGAUCGGAGUUAUUAAUUUUUAUUUAGAUAGUGAAUAGAAUUUUCUAUCAAAAUUUCAACCUAUUUCGAUUGUUUUUCACCGUUAAACUAGCAAAUAUCUUAUACCGGCCAUUAAAAAUUGUUAAUUUUGUAACCUUUUGAUCGUAAGGUAAAUGAUAUCGAAAAAUUAUAAAAUUUAAUUUCUAGAAGUUUUAAAUGCUCUAGAAAAUAUUUAACAGUAUGGAUCGUCGAUUUAGAAGCUCUAUCAUCAAAAAUAAUUUAUGAGUACGAGGGCGAUCGUACUCGUAAUAGUAUAGUAGCCGGACUAUAUAUAUAUAUAUAUAUAUAUAUAUAUAUAUAUAUAUACCCUUAUUAUUAUUAAGGGUAAAUUUUAAAUACCAUCACCGUGAUUUCGCACUUUCUCAUUUUAGUAACAUAUAGUUUAAAGUGUAUCACUUUAAUAUUCUGUAAUUUUUUUUUUCUCUUUCCAUUAGCACCCUUGUUAACUCUCCAUUAAAUCAUAUAAAACAAAGUUCAGAUACUUUAUGUAUACUUUAUAGAAUAUUCAUUUUAAUACUGUGUGGUUUUACUAACGUUUUACUUUAAUGCCCUAUGAUUUUACCGAAUUUUUACUUUACGAUAUUAACAUUGUCACUGAUUUAACAAAAGAAUUAGCGGAGGAAAUAAUGAAAAGAAAAAACGAAACCACAUGAUACAAAAUGAUACAUUUUAAAUCACAUAAUACUAAAAUAAAAAAACGUGAAAUCACAAAGAUGAUAUUUGAAAUUUUUCCUAUUAUUAAUUGAGCGAUCGCCGUAGAAUGGCCUACUAGGCUCGUGGGCUUCUAUUCUACUUGUCCUUGGUUUCUCACUUAUUAACAAGCAUAGGACGGUGAUAUUAAUUACUACAAAUAAUAUAAAAUUAUCGUCCAAAAAAUAUAUAAAAAAAAACUAAUUAUUUACUAUCACAUUUUGAACAAGGUCCUCUCCAUUAUUUUGAUUCGACUCAAAUUCUACAACUCCCCCAAUUCAAAACUCUGAUCUCUUAAUUAAUAGUUUGAAAAAUAAAUACUAGACUCUUCAAUUUUACUUUUCCGUAUUGACACCAUAAAAACAGACGUUUUGAAUUAAAGUAACAACAAUUCAGCUGUAUGUUAUAUUUAGCGAGACUAGAGAUAACUGAGUUACAUUUUGGGGUCUUUCCACAAGCAAACCUCUCUAAGGUAAAAAAGCAAAGCUACUUUUGAAGGAAUCGAGCUCAUAGCUAAGCGGCGGAUCUUCCUUGGUACCAUCUAGUUAACACUUAACACCGAAACGUUUGUUUUAAUUGACACCCUGAUGCCACGACGAGAACAAACAGCCUCACCCUUUUGUCAGUAAUUUGGUGGGUCGUCUGGACGGAUAGAAAUAAUUUCAUUUUCCGAGCAGCACCCCCUGACGCUACAAAAUCUCUGGCACCCUGUUAAUCUAUUAACGAAGGUUUGGAAAGAGCUACUAUGAUAUGUCUUUAACUUUCUACAUCUUACUUCUGUUUUUUUUCUACUUCCACCCUCCUCCCCUUUCUUCCUUUUUUCGCUUCUUCUUACUAUUUUUUUUAUCUACCUAGUUCAUUUUGCUUAAUGAAUAAAACAUAUAGCUCGCUACCUAUUUCUAAAAAAAAAAANUUGUUUUAGCUGUCAUAGUAAACAAAGUUUAUGGCCUAAUUAUAAUUAGGUCAAUCCAUGUGCCUCCAAAGUGCUUGAACCUACACAGAUUUUUGAUAGUGCGAUUUAUAUAGGCAAGGGCGCGCCUAGGAAACAGCUUUGUGGCCCCAGGUUUUUGGGACUAAGCAAAGAGCAGUGUAUAUAUAUACAAUAGCUGUUAUUAGUAACGUGCUCUUCCUCAGUGUUGUUGGUGAUUUUUGCCCACAAAUCGAAGAGCCAAACAAAUUGAAAACAAAAAAAAAAGAGAAAAAAAAAUCAUUUAAAAUUUAACCAAGGACGCACAAGUGGUCCAUCUUCGUGCAUGCAUGUAGCCUAAAACUAAUGCAACUCGAUAGAAUUUGAGAGAGGACCAUUCUAUAUAUAUUUUACUUAACCAUCCAACAUAUAACUGCAGUUAAAUAUAUGCUUGCUAAAGCAAUCACAACCAUUGAUACAUAACAAUUGCGCGCAUUUCAAUUUACAAUCCCGCUAUGAUCAAUCUUUUAGAUAACACGGUAUCAAAGUCGGUCAUAAUUAUUAACCCUCUUUAGCACUCAAGGAUUACAGAUUUUAUACUUGAUCCUUGAGGGAUCUUUAAUUAGUUUAAUCUCUAUCUCAUAUCUUUUUGUCACAUGCAUGAUUCAUUUGAUUACUAAUAACACCUGUCAUUUAUGCAACAUCUGUGUCAUAAUAAUUUAUGUAGGACACAUGUGCUCCAUUUCUCUCCACUGUCGCUACAGAACCUUCUUCAAGGUUGAGGAAGACCAUUAAAACAUAAAAAAUAAAUAAGAUAUCAAAGGACCACAAAAUUUCUCAAAUUUACCACAUAAUAAUUAUAUAUAUAUAUAUAUAUACACACACACACACACCAGAUAUUUCAGUUCAUGCACCUAAUAGCCUCCUAUUUUGCUGCACAAAGUCCAUCAUAUGAUUCAUAUCCCCUGGAAAGAGACAAAGUGGGCCCUUUCAUUGCAUGAACCCAAACACUGUUGCACUAUACGUGUCAUCCACUCGAAGGGCAACUUAACAAAGAAACAGAAGAUGAGUUACCAUGUGUUGUUCCUCUCAUCUCCAUAAACAGAGUGAGUUACACGACCUCCUCCUCAUAAUUCAGAAGCUACCAUUUUGUUGAUGUGCACAUAAAAAAUAUGUAUACAAGAAGGGGUGCAAUAAGAUGCCUACAAGUGUUAGGAGGCGGUUUGCAUGAUUGAGUUUUAAGGGGUAAUAAAGGGAAGAGAACAACCACACAAUAAGAACAACAUGGGGAGGGGAAACAUUAUGGGCGAUUGAGAGGAAUUGUAUGGAUGGGGCAUUGUACACGACACCAAAUAUAUAUAGAGUGAGGCUACUAUGCUAUCGGAAGCACGGAGCCUUCCGUACUUCCAGCUCGUUUUCGAUGUUGCGACUUUCGAAUCCUCGAUCGGCUCCGUUAAACUUGAUCUAGAGUAUUUGAAGUACCUAGAAAAUAAAUUUUAUGAUUUUACGAUAUCAUUUACCUAGUGAACGAAGGGGCUCAAAAUCAACGGCUGAAAAUAANACGUGUGUACGCGUGUGCCGUGAAAAUAAACAGUAAAUAAAAGAGACGGUAAGUUAUUAAUUCAACACGUAAAAAAAAAGCAAUUUUUUUUAUUUUAUACUACAUGUCUAUAAACCUACGUGGCCUGUGCAUUAAUAAAAAUUCUUGUGUUUAGUUGGAUAAACUUUCGAGUCUUUCAUUUUAAUUUUAAAAGUUUUAAACUUAUCCGUAAAGGUUUUACCUGGGUUAAAAUCAAGUGGAGAUAUCUUAAGGUGGGUUUUUUAUAUAUAUUUUAUUCUUUAAAAGGAACGUAAUCACAGAAGAGAUGACACCCCUUACCAAUGUAGGUACGUAGUAAUUAACAAGUUAUUAAUUUUUUAUUGUACGUACGAAAUUUUAGCAACUUUUGUUCAUGUCGAUCAUUAAUAAGCGCACUCCUCCCCUUUCUAACACAACAACUUAGUGAUUAAUUCCUGAACCAUCUUGUAGAAUCAAUUACUUCGAUUUAAUGUGAAAACCAGGAGCCUGAUACUUAAGAUAUUGUAAUACCAAGAGUUUGAAAUGAAAUAAUAUUAUGAUCACUUUAUGGGCGCGCUACGACCUAUAUUUAAAAAAAAAAUUAUUUAAAAUCAAAAAAUAUAAAAUUUUAUUAAAAUAUUCAGAUUAAUAAUUAAUUUAUUUUCAAUAUAUUUUUAUUAAAUUAUCAAUUAAAAUAAAUUUAUUUUAAAUAACUUUGCUGUUGGUGAUGUUUUUUACAAUGUAAAUUCCUACGAGAAAAAAUAUAAAAUGUUACGAAUUUUCGCAGGGUUAUAUAAGGUUGCAGUAAAAACUUUCGCAGCCAGUUUCACAGCCGUUUACUUCUCAGCGGCACGUAUAUAGUUGCGAAUAUGAUUCGCAGUCAUUUUAUAUAAGACUACGAAAUUUCACAGUCUUAAAAAUUUUAGGGCUGCGAAAUUCGCAGCCUUUUAAUUUUUAUCAACAUUUUAAAUAGUAGUAAAUUAUUUAACAAACUAUAGUAUACUGCUGCAAAAAACUUCGCAACCAUAAAAGAUAUAACAUUUUUACGAACCUCUGCGAAGGGGAUUCUCAGCAGAUUUUUCGCAGAAAUAUAAUUAAAAAAAAACAUCACUUGAAUAAAAUAUUUCUAAAUACACUUUUUUCUAAACUCUAUUUAUAUAGUUUUAUUAAAAUUUUUUAUUAUUUAUCUUCCCUUUAUUUUAUUAUCUUCUUAAACAAAUUAUUUUAAUUAAAAUAUAUAUACGUGUGCGCGUGAUAUAAAGAUUUUAGAAUGAGGAGUUUAAAUUUAAUACAUAAAAAAAUAUGUAGCUAGUUUAAUCUAAAAUAAUACGCUAAAUAAUGCACAUAAUAAUUAUUAUAAUUAAUUAAUAUAAUAUAUGUUACUCAAUAAUUAUUUAAAUUAAUUAAUUAAAGUAUCUCAAAUCUCUAAAUUUUAAAAUUUAAAACUUCAAAUUUUAAACUUUUAUUUAUAAUAUUUAAUUUAAAUUUUAAAUUUUAAAAUUUUAAACUUUCAUAGUUUUAAAAUUUAAAACUAUAUAUAUAUAUAUAUCUCUCUCUCUCUCUCUCUCUCUCUCUCUCUCUCUCUCCCCCAAACCCCCCUCUGCACAGUGGGGUUGUGAUGUUGUUUUUGCCAGAUAUCGCUGUGACAAUUUACAGCCAUGUCCAGUUUUUUUCACGACGACCGAUUUAAUGGCUGUGAAAAGUUUUCACAACGAUAUACAUCCCAGCGAUCCAUAUAUCACUGUCAAUUUCUCACAGCGAUAUUAGAUUUUUCUCACAACGAUUAAAUCGUUGUGAAUAAAUUCGUAGAUCGUUGGCGGCCUUGAGAUGGAACAACCGACGCCACCGCCUCCUCAAUCCAUCACCUUCAUGCAAUAGUUUUUCAGCACUAUAUAGUACUAUAAUUAAACAAAAUAAAAUGCUAGAUAGUAAAAUCAAAAUUUUUAAAUAUCUGGUAGUUAUUUCUAAAUGAUCUAAAGUUGAAGUUACUUUGCAUGCAUUUUUUACCUUUCUGUUUUUUUUUUUUGCCAAUUUGUUAUUAAUAUUUUUUUUGCGGUCCUAUUUUUCUCAAUUUUGGUACCAAUAUAUGUAUGGGUCUAAGUCUCAAUAUUGAUAUAUUUUACAAGACAAAAAUGAAGAAUUAUUCUGCAAGCACGGAAGACUAACGGUGGAAACUCGAUAGCACUAAGGAUUUAGUGCUAUCGAUAGUAUCCACUACAACAAAUAGAGCUUCUUCCGACAGUUUUUUUACCAGCAAUUAGGCUAACUGCCGCUAAAAGUAUAUUAUACCAGCGCUUUUUAUUUUUAUUGCAGCAGUUACUAAACCGCUGGUAUAUAUGAUGAUAAUUCUCAAAUUUAUAAAUAAUAUUGGACCCUAUAUUUUAUUAACUUUUUCCAUCAAUUGGGCCAUGGGCCAACCUUGGGCAAUAAACACUUUCCACAUUAGCUCUCCUUAUAUUUCAAAUAACCUCUCUCUCUCUCUCUAUCUCUCUCUCUCUCUCUCUCUCUCUCUCUCUCUCCAUCUCCACGCACCGUGAGCUUCGAGCUCGAUCGAUCUCCAUCUCUCUCUCUCUCUCUCUCUCUCUCUCUCUCUCUCUCCAUCAUCUAUCCGAUCAGAUCCGAUCCAAACCCUAAUCUCCACCCCCUCUAAUCCCUCCGAUCUGAUCGAAUCCAAGCCCUAAUUCUCAGAUCCCAUCCAUGGCGUCCCUCUCCUCCCCUCUGCCGCUCCCCUCCGCGGCGGCGGCGCUCCGCCGCGCUCGCCGCCCCGCCCCGAUCGCCGCGGCGAAUCCGUUGCAGUCGCCGUAGCCCUCGCCAGAGCCGAGGAGGCGAUCUCCGUAGUGGGCGCCGCUGUUUCAGCCGAUCGUCGGCGACGUGGCCGGAGGAGGCGGCGGUGCUGCGGCGGCGGCGGAGGAGGUGGCGGCGGAGAGGGAGAGGGAGAGGUUGACGGCGGAGAAGGCGAGGGUUCUGAGGGUUCUGAGGAGGGAGACGAGGGCGACGGAGGGGUGGCACGACGCCAUGUAUCACUCCACCAUCGCCUCACCCGACGAUCUCGAGGUUUAAAACGACGAUCCUGAAUAUACUCGGUAUGCCCUAUAUAUGUAAC
RNAcentral lists this long non-coding RNA (27384 nucleotides) under Ananas comosus (pineapple). RNAcentral describes it as "long non-coding RNA (ACOM_LNC031028)". The record is from RNAcentral. Lineage: Eukaryota; Viridiplantae; Streptophyta; Magnoliopsida; Poales; Bromeliaceae.